GUUCAGGUUGCGGUUUGCGUCACUCGGUCCCGUCCCGCCCACUGCCCACGUGAGCGGCAGCGCUGCGCGGGGGCGGCCGAGCCGCGGGCAGGCGCCUGCAGGAGCGGCGGCGGUGGCGAGCCGGCGGCGGGGGUUGUGCACUGCUCUGCCGUUCCCCUGCUGGUGGAGAUGUGGUUAUAGCGCACACACAAAUGUCUUGUUGCCUCCUGUGAUGUUCUGCAGCCUCCUGCGAUUUUCCUAGUGAAAAAAGGCGGUUUUGUAUUGCAAGUUCAAUAGGGCUGCAGGGCAGCUGCCUGUGUCACCAGGGAGCCCUUGCUGCCGGCCAGAACAUCUGCCCUGCCUGUGAUGGAAACGCGAGAAGCAAAGCGGUGUAACCAGAAAAACACUCUGGCUUCCACUCCCGGGCAGGAUGGAGCAGACCCCUGAUCCUGAGGAGGUGGGAUGUGACCCCGGAGAGAGCCACAGCCCAGUGCCACGUUGUUCUUGUGGUGGUGUGUGACAAAGCCUGGGACAGCCAUGGGCUGCAGGCCUUCAGCAGCUUGCAAUCAGCCAGGACAGUCACCUGAGUUGGCUCCAGGUGAAUCCCAUCCCAUAAACUCCAGGUGAACCCCAUCCCCCCUUGGUAUAAAGGGGGAAGUUUGAUGACAGGGCCUUCUACUUCCCUGCAUCCUGCUCCUAAGGCUGCUUUCCUGUUUGCUGUGCCUGCUCUGCAUUCCCGGGGCUGAGGAUAAUUUUAGCUGCUUGAUACUGGGUUCAUGCCAAAGUGCUGCGUUCCUCCUGGGGAUGCAAAGUGAUCCAGAUUUGGCUGUUGAAUGUGGCUUUCUCUUCUCUGAUGAGAAAGGCCACAGCAGCAACCUGGAUUUUUACACACUUUUUAGCUACUCCAUCAAGUUUUGGAACCUACUUGGAGCUGCUGCUCAGCGUCGCUGCAGGGCUGGUCCAUCCAGCCUGGCAUCCCCUUGCCUGCUUGGCUCUACUCUCCCUGCAGUGACCAGCAAACGCUGGUUGUGUUUCCUUAGUGCUUUCAUCCUCUGUUUUCUGCUCUCUCUGCUCCUGCUGAUGCCACCAGAGCUUCCUCCUGUAGUACUAUAUGAUGUUAUGAUGUUCACAGCAUGUUCUGCUGUUUUAUUAAUGAGGAUGAAACCAAUUUAUAAACCUCCUUAAGUUCACAAACAGCUAAGUCCCACUACUCCCUAAUCAUCUUCUGGCUUUUAAACAUGCUUUGCAGGACUUUCAACCCUCGUCAGCCAGCCUGGAGUCCCUUAUCAGGCAGGAUCAGCUGGACAUGUCCCUGUGGGCAUCCCACUGUGUUCUGCUUGCCAAAUGCUCUCUGGAAUCACUCAGAAUACUCCUCAGACCGAGGUUAUCUAUUUCCCGGAGGUGCUUUCAGGGCAUGGUUUUAAGGAAUUGCUAGUUAUGUGUCCUAGUUCUUGUGGAAACCUCCAAGGGGAUCUGAUUUUCAGAAGGCAUCGAGGACAGAAGAACAGGCCACAUUCCGCUUUCGGGUACUCUGAAAUUACCAUCUGUUAACUCUUGGCCACUUCUGCCUCCAUUGCCCCUGCUGUACUCUGUCCUUGCACAUCAUCAAGCACGAAGAUGAGUGUUUUGUCUUGCCAUGGAGAAAGGGUCUAAUCUGAGGAAUCACAAUGGAUGUGGAA
Long non-coding RNA from Pogoniulus pusillus (Red-fronted tinkerbird), 1658 nucleotides. RefSeq lists it as uncharacterized. The transcript has 2 exons. Lineage: Eukaryota; Metazoa; Chordata; Aves; Piciformes; Lybiidae. The record is from RefSeq and is a predicted model, not a curated record.